This is a non-coding RNA of Callithrix jacchus (white-tufted-ear marmoset), 15533 nucleotides long. Lineage: Eukaryota; Metazoa; Chordata; Mammalia; Primates; Cebidae. The record is from RefSeq and is a predicted model, not a curated record.
GUUUCGCUCUUGUUACCAGGCUGGAGUGCAAUGCCACGAUCUCGGCUUACCGCAACUUCUACCUCCUGGGUUCAGGCAAUUCUCCUGCUUCCCAGCCUACUGAGUAGCUGGGAUAACAGGCAUGCGCCACCAUGCCCAGCUAAUUUUUUGUAUUUUUAGUACAGACGGGGUUUCACCAUGUUGACCAGGAUGGUCUUGAUCUCUUGACCUUGUGAUCCACCUACCUCGGCCUCCCAAAGUGCUGGGAUUACAGGCGUGAGCCACCGUGCCCGGCCCUGAAUUACACAUUUUGUCUACUCUUUCCAUGGAUCUGUAAAUCAAAAAAUGGCUGGUCCAAGCAUUGCUUAUGUCUAGUUGUGUUUUUCCUGAAUUUUCCCACAUGGUUGAAACCAUGGCUUGAGUCUCAUUUUAUUUUUUUAUGUAUUGGCACUGUGGAGCCUCUGGGACAAAGCCAAGCUGUUACAGAGUGGUUUAGGAUCACUGUCUGUGUGCCAGCACCUUCUUUUUCUAAUCUUGUCCCCUGUUAAACAAGAUACAGUCUUACACCACAAGCAUCCCUCACUGCCAGAGGAUAACAGCAGCGGCUCAGCAAGGCAGACCUCAGCGUGCAAGAGCCUGGGUGUGGUCUGGGGAAAAUCAGCAAAUGCAUUUUUCAAAAGUUGGGGUUAUGUAAAAGACUGCUUAUGUGGAGUCAUCCAGUUCACAUACCCAGUCAGGCCACAUAGUUCUGCUCAUUAUCAAGGCCAAAGAAAGAAGGAGGACUAUAAAUACAUGACUUUAGAGAGAUUUAAGGAUAAACUUCAGCAAAACUAUAAGGAUGAUUUAUAAUCAGCACAUGAAUGGCUUCUCUAUAAAUAGGACUUCCCAUAGUACAUGCAGUUUGUCCACUUAAAUGUUUUAAGUAACUGUUUUUCCUUUUUUCUUUCUCUCCAUUCUGUCUGAAGUUUUGAGUAACAUCUUUUAGCAGAUAUGAACAAAAAUUAUCCUUUCUAAAAGUGACCUCUCUAAAACACCUGCUCAAUCACUUUCCUGUUAAAAUUACUCAGUGCUUCCUUCCUAGAACUGAGUACUUUCAGUAUUCAGUCCAAGCACCCUUGGGUCAUGUAGAACUGUGCAAUAUGAUAACCCCUAGCCACACGUGGUUUCUGGGCACUUGAAAUCUGACUAGCACAAGGAAGGAACUGAAUUUUUAAUACUGUUUAAUUAAAAUUAAUCUAAAAUUUUAAACUGGUAGUUGACCCACUUAUUUUGAAAAUUAAAAAUUAUAUUUGGAGCAACCUGGGUAUGUGAAAUCUACCUUUCAACUGUAAAUUUUAUGAAAUAUAAAUAUAGUUCCAAUAUUUUUGAUGGAAAGUUAGCAACUAAAUUUGAGGUAAAGUACCAGCUUUUGAAGACAUAGUUUAUAAAAAAAGAUGUAAAAAUACUUCAUUAAGAAUUUUAUGGCUGGGCACGGUGGCUCAUACCUAUAAUCCCAGCACUUUGGGAGGCUGAGGUGGAUGGAUCACGACGUCAAGAGAUCAAGACCAUACUAGCCAACAUGAUGAAACCUCAUCUCACUAAAAAUACGAGUAUUAGCUGGGCAUGGUGGUGUGUGCCUAUAGUCCUAGCUACUUGGGAGGCUGAGGCAGGAGAAUCACUUGGACCCAGGAGGCAGAGGUUGUAGUGAGCUGAGAUCACGCCACUGCACUCCAGCCUGGUGACAGAGCGAGACUCUGUCUCAAAAAAAAAAAAAAAAAGAAUUUUAUAUUGAUUACAUGUUGAAAUGAUACAUUAGGAUAUAUUAGGUUAAAUAAAAUAUAUAGUUAAAUUAAUUUCACCUGUUUCUUUUUGCUUUUCUUUGUUUAUGUGACUAUUAGAAAAAUUUAAAUUUUACAUGUGGCUCACAUUAUGUUUCUACAGUACCAACCUAGCAAAUUUACUGACUGUAGGAGGAAUGAAUGAAUGAAUAGCUUCAAAGCCCUUCACCGCUUGCUUCAAUCUUGCUCUUUAAGUCUCAUCUGCCACGACUUUAAUUCAUCUAUUUGGCACUUCAUCUGGUGCCAGCAUUCCUGGCUCUUUCACGUGUCAGUGGCUUUGUUCCCUCUCCUCCAUCUGGCCUGAGUUUCUCUUCAUCCUCCAGGACCCAGCUCAAAUGUCCUCUUCCCUCUGAAGCCUUUAUCUACCUCUCCAGGCCUGAGCUCUGUGCUCCCAAAGACCUGGAGCAUUCUGUAAAUCCUAUCAUGGCAUCUACCACUUUGGUAGAGUGCAGAGUUUCAUGUGUCUUUUUUGUUUUGUUUGGAGACAAAGUCUCAUUCUGUCGCCCAGCUGGAGUGCAGUAUGCGACUUCAGAUCACUGUUAGGUCCGCCUCAUGGUUUCAAGCAAUCCUCAUGCCUCAGCCUCCUGAGUAGCUGGGAUUACAGACACACACCACCAUGCCCAUCUAAUUUUUGUAUUUUUAGUAGAGACAGAGUUUCACCAUUUUGGCCAGGCUGGUCUCGAACUCCUGACCUCAAGUGAUCCACUCACCCCAGCCUCCCAAAGUGCUGAGAUUACAGGCAAAUGUCUUUUUCCUAUGAAUUCCCAGCAUUAAGCAGCAUGCCUUGGACCUUAGAGAUGCCCAAUAAAUGUCUGCUGAGCAUGUCAAAGACCUUACAUAGAAUAGCGCCAAUUCUUUGUUGGUAGAAUUCAUGUCAGUGACUCAGGGAGGGGUUCUAAGUUAAAGUGGACUUCAGUGAAGGGGGUGCUCUAAGAUGGGCAAAGGCAAAAUCUGCUAUGUGAUUACAGCAACCACAGAGGAAGAAAUGACGAAUGUGUACGGAUGAGUAAAAAAGGCCUGGAAUUCUCUUCUGCUUGUUUAGGGAGGAGACAUGCACACAGCAAGCGCAACUCAUUUCAGCAGGACAACAGGGGUGCAAAAAGUAUUGCACUGAAUCAACAGGUCUUCACGGGAAUCCGGUGACAGUCUGACAAUCAGGAAGGAAAGGGGGUGGAGCGAAGAUUAUUUUAAGCAGAGUCAUAAAGAAAAAGUCUCUUAAGUCUCUCAGAGCCAGAUGGAAGAUUUAUGCUUCAUUUAUCAAGAAAGAGGAUAGAACCUUAGGGUUCCUCUAAGUCACUCUCUCCUUCAGGCACACCUUUCUCUUCACCACACCCAGGAGGGAGAGCUAUAUCUAAAUCUAGGUUUCUAGUCGUCAACCAAGGCAGGUCCAGAUUAAAUGCUUCAAACUUUAAACUGAUAAAAGAGGCUGAGCAUCAAGGAGCUGGGAAAUUCCAAAGCAUUUUUAUACUUCAAAGAAUGCUUCCUAGGGCAACAUGGAGAGCCAGGCAAGUAGAAAUGAAUGGGUUAAAAAAAAUCAUCCUCUGCUUAAAAUAGCCCAGCAGUCUCUCCUACUAGAAAAAAAAUCUAAUUAAGCAUAUCUUUCCACUGCAUAGUUCUUAGUAGUAGACAGAAACAACUAAACUAGAAACAUCCUGGUUGAAUAAACUGUAGAAUAUCUAUAUUAUGGCUUAUUAUCUAAGUAUUAAAAAGAAAAAAUCUUGUGAUACGUGUUAACCUGGAGAUGUUUCACAGAAAUGUGUACAGGUUGGCAGUAUUUUCAUGAAAUCAGCACUACCCCACCAUGGCUGUGUGUGUACAUCCAUAGUAAAUAGUCUGAUUUCAGAGAGAAAGAAUGAGAGGCUGGGGAAAGAAGAAAAAGAGAGAAGAGAAGGAGGAAGAAAGGGAGGAAAGGAGGAGGAAAGGUGGAAAGAUACACAAUAAGCAGUUCAGAUUGGUUAUUUGAGGGAAGCAAGGUUGUGAGGAGCAUAGUUAGUUGUGUGGGGGGGGGCAUAUAUAGUCACGCACCUGUAACAAUGUUUUGGUAGUGACAGACUACUUAUACAACAGCAGUCUCCUAAGAUUAUAAUGGAGCUGAACAAUUCCUAGCACCUUGUGAUGUGGUAGCUGUCAUGAUGCCAUAGCGCAAUGCACUGCUCAUGUUUGUGGUGAUGCUGGUGUAAAGAAACCCACUGUGCUGCCAGUGUCGUAAAAGUAUAGCACAGGCCGGGUGCAGUGGCUCACACCUGUAAUCCCAGCACUUUGGGAGGCUGAGGCAGGCAGGUCAUGAGGUCAGGAGAUCGAGACCAUCCUGGCCAACAUGGUGAAACCCUGUCUCGACUAAAAUACGAAAAAAUUAGCUGGGUGUGGUAGCACGUGCCUGUAGUCCCAACCACUCAGGAGGCUGAGGCAGGAGAAUCGCUUGAAUCCAGUAGGCAGAGUCUGCAGUGAGCCGAGAUUAUGCCACUGCACUACAGCCUGGGCAACAGUGCGAGACUCUGUCUCAAAAAAAAAAAAGUAUAGCAUGUACAAUUAUGUAAAGUACGUAAUGCUUGAUAAUGACAAUAAAUGACUAUGUUACUGGUUUAUGUAUUUCCUAUACUAUAUUUUUAAUUAUUAUUUCAGAGUGCAUUUUUUCUACUUGUUAAAAAAGAGCUGUCAAACAGCCUCAGGCAGGUCCAGAAAAAGGUCUCCAGAUAAAGGUCUUGUUAUCAAAGCAGAUGAUAGCUCCAUGCCCGUCACUGCCCCUGAAGCCCCUCGAGUGGGAUGAGCUGUGGAGGUGGACAGUGAGGUGGUGACUCUAACCCUGUGCAGGCAGGCCUAUGCUGACGUGUGUGUCUCCAUCUCCGUUUUUAAGAACAAAAGCUUAAAAAGCAGAAAAAGGUUUUUUAAAGUGGAAAAAACCUUAUAGAAUGAGGAUAUAAAGAAAAAGUAUUUUGUACAUCUAGUGUGUUUGUGUUUUAAGCUAAGUUCUAUGUAACAGUCAAAAAGUUAAAAGAUUCUAAACGCUUAUAAAGUAACAAGGUUAUAGUAAGCCAAAGUUACUUUAUGAUUGAAGAAAGAAAAAUAUUUUAUAAAUUUAGCGCAGCCUAAGUAUACAGUGUUUAUAAAGUCUACACACUGUGCAGUCAUGUCCUAGGCCCUCACAUUCUCUCAGUGACACCCAGAGUAGCUUCCAGUCCAGAAAGCACUAUUCAUGGGAAGUGCCCUAUACAGCAAAUUUACCAUUGAAAUAUUUUAUACUGUAUUUUUACUGUAUCUUUUCCAUAUUUAGAUAUGUUCAGAUACACAGAUAGUUACCAUUGUGUUAUAGCUGCCACAGUAUUCAGUACGGUGACAGGCUGUAGUUUGUAGUAAGCUAUACUAUCUAGGUUUCUGUGAGUACAUUCUAUGAUGUCUGCGCAAUGACAAAAUUAUCUAACAAUGCAUUUCUCAGAUUGGAUUCCCACUGUUAAGUGAUGCAUGCCUGUGUGUGUGUGUGUGUGUGUGUGUGUGUGUGUGUGUAUACACUCACAUACACACAUAAAUGUAUACUACUCUCUGUAUCCACGAGUUCUACACCUACAGAUUCAACUAACCAGAGGUCAAAAAUAUUCCCUACAUUAUCCCUACUCCUACUUUGCAUGGAAUCUGACAAGCAUCCCCACUACAACUUCCCAGCUUCCUACUAAAAUACUCGUGAAGACUCCCAAAAAUGAGAACAGUUACAAGAAUUCUGAAAAGUAAGACUGUUCCUUAUUGCCAGUGGUUCGUGUCUGUAGUCCCAGCUACUUGGGAGUCUGAAGUGGGAGGAUUACUUGGGCCCAGGGAAGUCGAGGCUGCAGUGAGCCGUAACUGCACCACUGCAAAUCAGACUGGUCAACACAGACAGACCCUGUCUCAAAACAAGCAAACAAAAAGCAACAGAGCAAUGCUUACUGACUUCUGGUAGAAAAAUAAUUAUUAUGACUUAAAUUAUAUCAGUGAAACUGUCAUUUGUGUGUGAAGCUGCCAUAAUGGCAUUCUCAGAUACUCACUGAGAAAUGGAACUAAAAAUCAGUUGAGUCACUUUAGCCAACUGAAAGGAGAAUCAAAAUUAAGAAUUUAGUACAGAGAAUUCAAGGUAUAAAAGUAAUUCUGGGUUUUCCUUUACUUGUGUUCAACUACAAACUUGGGAAUCCAGUCAGUUGUGAAUUACCCAGUAGAUUUUUGCAAUGAAGGGGUGAAAUGUGACCUUAUGGUAUCUUCUGCUUCCACUUUCCUCAGUAAUGCCAGACACUGCAGAAACUUCUCACUCUUUACUCAAUUCGUAGGCGUCUCCUGAGAGCACAGUGAUCAGAACAAUGAGGACCACUGCAUUUCAGGACCUAAUGAAAACGGUUAAACUACGGAGAAGUUGAGACAUUGCAGCAGCAGAACCGCUGAGGAAAAAAGCUUAUUAUCUCCUCUACAAAAGCAGAGUUGCCAAGGAACUUGAUUUUCUGCAUCUGUAAACCUCAUGUUUACUGAGUCACUGGGCUGUCUUUUAAAAAUUUUUAAAUAUAUUUUUAUGUUUAUUAUUAUUAUUAUUUUUUGAGAUGGAGUUUGCUCUGUCGCCCAGGCUGGAAUGCAGUGGCACAGUCUCAGCUCACUGCAACCUCUGCCUCCAAGGUCCAAGCAAUUCUCUUGCCUCAACCUCUGGAGUAGCUGGGAUUACAGGUGCCCGCCACCACGUCUGGCUAAGUUUUGUAUUUUUAGUAGAGACUGGGUUUCACCAUAUUGGCCAGGCUGGUCUUGAACUCCUGACCUCGUGAUCCACCCGUCUCAGCCUCCCAAAGUGCUGGGAUUACAGGCAUGAGCUCCUGUGCCUGGCCUCUCUUAUUUUUUUAAUCAGUUAAGAGUAGCAAAUAACACAGGGACAGAUACCAUCUGUUACCAGGCCCUCUUCAUCUAUGGCUUGGGGUGUUUCUGGACUAGUUAUGCCAUGAACAAAAUGUAAAAAAUGGAAGAAAACAUAAUGUAGGGAAAUAUAAUGUUCAUUGGUGAUUAUCUUUGGGUGGAAAAAUUCUGAAUAAUUUUAAUGUUUAAAUUUAUAUUCUUAAAUGUUCUAGUUUGUUUCUUUUCUUUCUUUCUUUUUCUUUUGAGACAGAGUCUUGCUCUGUCGCCAGGUGCCCGGCUGGAGUGCAGCGGGGCGAUCUCGGCUCACUGCAACCUCCGCCUCCUGGGUUCAAGCAAUUCUCCUGCCUCAGCCUCCCGGGUAGCUGAGACUACAGGUGUGUGCCACCAUGACCAGAUAAUCUUUUUGUAUUUUUAGUAGAGAUGGGGUUUCACCAUGUUAGCCAGGAUGAUCUCGAUCUCUUGACCUCAUGGUCCAUCUGCCUCGGCCUCCCAAAGUGCUGGGAUUACGGUUGUGUGCCACCGCGCCCAGCCUAGUUUGUUUCUUUUUGAAACGUGUAGUUGUUACUUGUAUACUUAGGGAACAAAGAGGCUUUAAAUAUCAUUUGAUAUAAUUCUGUCUAUGCCACUUGAGAUAGAUAUUUCUGUGGCUUCUCUCGGCUCACAACCAGACCUUCUCUCUGGGCGUUCCUUGUCCCUCAUCUGCUUCACAGGGAAGACUCCCAGGUAACCAUGUUUAUAUCAGUCAGGUCCUAGUUCAAAUGCUACCUCCUCAGACUUUCCAAACAGCUGCCCACAAUGCUCACUCCCAACAAUACAUUCUGUUUUGUUUUAGCCACAGAACUUUUUAGUGGUUGCUUUAUUUUCUUGUAUACUGUUUCCCUCUCCCUCUUUUUUUUUGCUUUGUCACCAGGCUGGAAUGUGGCGGCGUGAUCUUGGAUUACUGCAACCUUUGCCUCCUGGGUUCAAGUAAUUCUCCUGCCUCAGCCUCCCUAGUAGCUGGUAUUACAGAUGCGCACCUCCAUGUCCAGCUAAUUUUUGUAUUUUUAGUAGAGAUGGGAUUUGCCAUGUGUUGCCACGCUGGUCUCAAACUCCUGGCCUCAAGUGAUCUGCCCGCCUUGGCCUCCCAAAGGGCUGGGAUUAUAGGUGUCAGCCACUGUGCCUGGCCUGUUUUUCUCUUUUCAGUGAGGGACUUUGUCAUGUUGACUGUGUUAUACUGAACCACACAUACCAUAUGCACUCAGUAAAGUACGGAACAAAGGAAAAAGCCUCCCAUGACCCCAGCUGCCUGUCCAUAGCUAGGAGAGCCAGGGAGACCCUGAGCAAAGAGGUCCUAACUUUAUUGUACCAGGAUGGCAUCAUGAUGACAUCAAGAAUAAGGGAGUGGUUGUAUACAUUCUGCUUUGCUUUAAAAAUUGCCUUUGAAAUUUUGCUACACUUUCUUUAGCUAGCUGGUGGCCAAAAGGGCUGACUGUCAUGGGGUGGGGGACGGUGGGGCAUCAGCUGAUGGGUUCCCCGUCAGUAUUGCUGGGUAGAGGCCUGAGGGCGGUGCUUGUGGCCUAUUUGUGGGCUGCAUGGGUUGGCCCACCCUGUGGCUUUAAUUCCUAAAUAAAUCUCACAGAACUGCUGACUCGUCUCACUUGCUUUCUUGAAGUACAUUCACCAGCCCCACCUAGUUUUAAGAAAGCUCCUUAAGUGACCCAGAGGUCCUCCUGGGUGAGCAGCUCUUGUCUUGGGUCCAGUAAAACAACAGGGAGCAGGGGCGAACAGUGCAAAGAGCGUCACAGGAGCAGGACACAAACUGUUACUCAGAAAACUGAGGGAGAUUAAGCUGAUACAAGAGGACUGGGCAAAAACCCAGAGACCAGGCAACAGAACGGCCCAGCGACUUUCUCAGUCUCCAGUGGCAAACAAUCCUAUCCCCCGACUCCACCCCAGCUUCUCCUGCGGUCCCGCCUCUGUCGCCCUAGCUGCUGGCUUAGGGUACCUACAGACAAAUCUCAGCUUCCUGGGCCAGCACACUGUCUCUAUGCUAGGUGUGUAGCGAGGACUCUUCAUCUUUGCAGCUGUGUGGGUAGAGGUGGCCCCGGGCAGAGGCAGUGGGACAAAGCAGCCUCCCUGAGGCUCUUUGGGAGUCCUGAAGGCUGAAGCCCUCACUGCUUUGCAGUCCAGGCUGGAGAGCUUUGACAUAUUUGUGCAGUGGAUCAUAACGUUACCUCACCAUGGAUCCAGCUGCCAGCAUCUCCAAAAUGCAGGGGAAAUUGAAGAAAUGAGCCAAAGGGGACUGUAAACCUCUUUUCCACUAGGCUCCUGUUCCUGGCCCAAAAGACUGAACCAACAUGGAAUCAUCCAUACUAAAUGUAACAAACAACGUGGGUGUACACUGUAACAGAUGGCUGAGUUUGGGUAGUUACAGCAGCUGAGCUUAAGUCAGUCGUAGGUGGCCAGCCUAUUCACGUAAGGCUGUAACUAAUUAACCUCUGUUUCUCACUGCUGUUUUCUAAACAUAAAUACUGCUUGACCAUGUGGCUUAUUCUUCAAACAUUUUCUGGUCCUGAGGUCUGCCCAAUUCUAGACUCAUGAAUGAAAGCCAAUGAAGAUCUUUAAAUGUGUUGCAAUCUGGUCUUUUUGACACCAUUAACUUAGAAAGCUCUAAGGAAGAUUCCAGAAAUCAGGUUUGCCUGAGAACUCAACCCUGUACCCAUGUGCAGUCAUUUGUGAAUUUGGGGAAUUCAGGUUGUUAUAAUACAAUAGAAAGCUAAGAGGGAUUUUCCAACUCUAAAAGUGGUUAAAUCCUGAAUUACUUAGGAAUUUUCCCAUCUUUACAAAUCUUAAAAGUUGAAGACCCUUCCUUCUUUCCCUCCUUCCUUCCCUCUCCCCCUCCCUCUCUCUCUCCCUCCUUCUCUCUCUCUUUCUUUCUUUCCUUCUUUCUCUUUCUUUCUUUCUUUCACAGGAACUCUCUGUCACCCAGGCUGGAGUGAAGUGGCAUGAUUUUGGCUCACUGCAAUCUCCACCUCCUGGAUUCAAGCAAUUCUCCUGCCUCAGCCUCCGGAGUAGCUGGGAUUGCAGGCUUAGGUUCUCCGUGUGCAGGGAUUAAGAAUUCUCGGCUCCCAGUCCCAAGUCUCGCACAUGGUAGGUGAUGAAGAAAUGUUUUAAUGAAUGAAUGAUGGUGGUAGGAGUCUCCCCAUCUCCCUAUCUUUCUCUUACAUGUUCUUUUGUCUCUGGGACAUGCUUACUUUGCCUCCUCCUCCAACCCUGGAUCAAAGGAAAUCAUUACUCCCCCCGACCCUGCGGCAUUCGAGCUGUGAGUAGAUGAAGUCUUGCCACCACUGUAGAAAGUGUGUGGGGUGAGAUGAGAACAAAGUUUAGUCAAGAAGAGGAUGUUUAGGCAGCACAGAAAACUUACAGUAUCGUGAGUUGCCAGACAAUGUUGGUAGAACAUUUAUCUACCUCCUCUGAGGGGUGUACUUUAAGGAACAGAGUGGAAGCAUUCUCCAAAAUCUACAACAGUGCAAUAAACCUCUGGAAUAGGUCAUGAGACUUUCUGUCUGUAUUACAUGGAAAGAAAAAAAAAGCAUUUGUGCAGCAAGAAAGGUUGGGUGAGGGUUUAGGAGAAAAUGACCCUUGUUCACCAGCAGAGGGCGAGCUUGGGAGGCGGCUUAAUGUUCUCCCUGAAACAACUUCGGGUUAGGGCUGCAGGAGGCAGCCAGGUGAUUUCUCCAGUUGUGGGGUCAUUUUCAGGCCACUUGUGGGAACAGGAAAGAUAAUUCAGGGACACAGGUACAAACAGAGAUUAUGUGUCACUAAGCAGGAGCCGGCAGCAAAUGACCUUUUAGACCAAAAUACGCACGGGGCAGAGAGUAGCUUUUUCUUUCACACUGAUUCCGAAAGUGUGGCCCGUGGACCAGCACCAUUUGGAAGCCUGUUAGAAAUGCAGAAUCUUCGGCACAACAUGUGACCUGCUGAAGCAAAAUCUGCAUUUUGUGUGUGUGUGUGUGACUGAGUCUCUUGCUCUGUCUUUCAGGCUGGACUGCAGGUGCACCUCCACACCCGGCUAAUUUUUGUAUUUUUAGUAGAGACAGGGUUUCACCAUAAUGUCCAGGCUGGUCUUGAACUCCUAACCUCAAGUGAUCUGCCCGCCUCAUCCUCCCAAAGUACUGGGAUUAGAGGGAGAGCCACCGCACCCAGCCCAGAGUCUUCAUCUUAACGAGAUCCCUAGGUGAGUCUACACAUCAGUUUGAGAAGCUCCUCUGCCACAUCAUUUUCCUGUGCCAAAGCUAGGGAGUUCGACCUAACCUCUCUCUACUGGAAUCAGCACUCUCUUCCUAUAUAAAAAGCUAUUGAGCAGUUAUUCUAUUUGGAAGUGACCUGAACCGUUUGUUUUUAGUACCUAAAAGUUUUUAAAAUCUUUAAAUGAGAUACCAUUUAAUUCUUUUCAAAAUGCUUUGCUAUGUUAUCAUUAGAAAGUCCUGUGGAGUAGCUGUCUGGCUCCCAGCUGUGCCCUGUUAUCACCAGACUGUGGUUAGUCUUUAACAUCAAGUGACGAGGUGAACAGAAAACUCUACCCUUGGCUGAAUGAAUCAGAGAUUUGGGGAUAUUGCCCUGCCCCCAACGUGCCCUGCCUGCUGGCAUCCUGGAGAUCUGCCACCAGCAUCAUUGGAUUCUCCAAUGGCUUUUGGUGUUCAGGGGACCUUAGUUAGAGCACAAGUGCCCUUGGAAAGGCUGCUGAGAUGCCAUCAGCAACACUUCAGCAGCUGGCUGGGCUUCACUGUGCUAAGGGCUUUACAGACAGCCAUCCCUUAAGCCUCUGGCACCCUUGCCGGGAAGUAUGAUUAUCCCCACUUUAAGAAUGAGGAAAUGGAGGUCCUCACAGAUUAACCUUCCCAAGGUCACUAGGGACUAGUAAGUGACAGGCCUGAAGCAGCUGCAUGUAACCCCAAAGCCUGGUGACCUCACCCCGAUGGAGAGAGCCAGUGCCUUCAGAAUGCGGCUUGGGUAAGAAGCUGGGUGGGCCAAAUGGAGCCCUGCCACAGGAAGGGGAGCAAUUGGGAUGGGGUGCCCACUCAUUUUAUUUUUCAGAAGUUGCCUCUGCUGCUUCUUGGGAUCUAGUGGGACCACGCUCAUCCUUGCACCCCUCCGGGCAUGAGAGAAGCCCACCAGCCUGAGGACAUCAGCAUCAUGGACUGUGAUCAUGGUUUCACCUUGGUCAUUCCAGCAAGUGGAGGAGGAGGAGAAGUUUGCCCUCCUGCCCUCUGACUCAACCCUAACCUUAGUUUUCUUCUGAUUAAGUCAGAAUGGGGGUUAGGCCACGUUCUGUGGGCAGGAGCUCUCCAUGCCAUCCAGGAACUCUCUUUGUUGUGAAUGACAUCUAAUUCUUGGUGUGUGCCUUAGUUUUCUCUUUUAAAAAUGAGGAUAAUGAGAGUGUUUGACUCACAGGAAUACUGUGAGGGUUAAAUGAGUUGGUGCAUGUGAAGUCCCUGACCCUCUUCAAACACUACACAAACGUGAGCUAAUGUUAUUUAAGGUGGGUGUGGCCACAUCAUCAUCCUUUUGACCUGUGAAGUCUCCCAUUGGUCAGGUUUAGGUCUAGAAAGAGUCAGCGGUUUCACACAGACUUGUGUCCUAAGUCACAGGCUCCUUCAUGUCUACCAGAGUCUCCCUGCACUGGCAGGAAAGGGCCCUGGCUGAAAAGAAAGUGGCGUGCUUAUUUCUCAUUUGCUCUCACCUCGAGGUAUGUCCCUGUGGGGGAAGGAACCUCACUACAGAAGGAAUAUCUGGCUCAUGCCAGCAUUCCUGAACACACAACCCUAAUGAUAAUAAUACUGCUCAAUUGAAGGAUGCCUUUUUCCCCUGCCCCCACCACCAUCACACAGCUCUAAGUUCUGCAGUGAACCAGAAAUCAGGAGAGGAGAAAUAUCUCCAGUGGAAAAUCCUAUGUGGCCUCCAGAGCUUCCCACAAUUCUGAACAACUAGAAUACACCAACUGGACAUUCCCUUGGCCAGACUCAAAAUUCCUGUGCGUGUGCAUGCAUGCAUGCAUGCAUGUGUGUAUACGUGUGUUAAGAGCUCAUUCUGAAGAUUAGAAUACUUAGAAACCCUGGUUCUGUUGAUGAAGUGUCAUGAGAUAGUUGAGAGUCAUGAGGCAGAGGGAUCACUGUGAAGCCAUCAUUCACACAUCCACAAGACUUAUGUGCAUAUCCUGGCUAAAGGCAGAAUUUCAGCUAAGAGUCUUUUGGGAGGGAAAAGCCAAGAGCAAACCCAUGCAUUCUACUUCUGUUAAUAUGUGUUUAAUUUGUCUGGUGUUCAGUAAGAGAUUGGCUUAAUAUAGGAAAGCAUUUUGAUUUGGAGUCAGGCUAAGCACAGAACCCUUCUCGAGAUGGUAAGAAUCUAUAAAAUGGGGGUAGUAACACCUACUAAGUAGGACUGUAAAAAUUAAUCAAAAGACAUGUGUAAAGCAAUCACUGAGAUAGGUAUUUCCAACCAAUGUUUUACAGAAGAGGAGAUGGAGAUCUACAAAGUUAGCUGACUUGCUUACCGCCCAAAGCCAGGCUCCAAAUACAGGUCUGUUCACACCAGAGUCACUCUAACCUCUCAGCUGGAGUGGAGAAUAGGGAUAGUGAUCAGAAAUCCUGACUCCUCCCUCACAUUCCUUCUGCCCCAUUGCACACAUCUACAUACAUACAGCAUACAUGCACACACGCACAUACACACAGCCUUCCUUCGCCCAGUAAAUCAUACUGCAGAUUGAAGGCACAGGUUGUCAUUCAAUAGGGAUAAAACCAGUCUGAGGAACAGAAGAUAGGAAGGUAAAAGAGAAACUACACAUAGACUUACCCUUAAGCUGUGGACAUUAGUUUGCAUUUGAUUUUUAGCGAUGUCAUAUCCAGUGGCCAAGGAAAUCCUCAAAGGACCUUGCAUCUUAGAGAACUCAGCUACAGGUAUGCAAAAGCGUCAGCCUAACUAACUGAAACUUUAAAGGCAACAGAUGGUCCAAUGCAUCAGGCAUGUCAAUUUUGGUGACACGGAAAGGCUGGUGAGAUUUCUGUGGGCUGCUUAAAACCUCUCCCAGGCUUGAGUGGACUUCAAACAUAGUUGCAGGCCUCAUGCCCAUAAGGGAAACACUGCUUUCAACCAAGCUGAUUACUCUGAAUCUCUGGGGAAAAUCAGAUGUCUACAUUUGUCUUUGUCAAAUUUCAAAUUAAUUUCUUGCCUGUAAUUCAGAGGGGAGCUACAAAUGAAGAGCCCUGCAGGGCAUUAAUGAGUCAACAGUAGCUCAUUCUGUCUUUGUAGCAUCUUUGUUCAUCUGGUCAAGGUUUUUUUUUUUGAGACAGAGUCUCACUCUGUUGCCCAGGCUGGAAUACAGUGGUGCAAUCUCAGCUCACUGCAACAUCAGCCUCCUGGGUUCAAGUAAUUCUACUGGCUCAGCCUCCUAAGUAGCUGGGAUUAUAGGCAUGUGCCACCAUGCCCGGCUAAUUUUGUAUUUUUAGUAGAAACAGGGUUUCACCAUUUUGGUCUGGCUAGUCUCAAAUUCCUGACCUCAGGUAAUCUGCCUGCCUUGGUCUUCCAAAGUGUUGGGAUUACAGGUGUGAGCUACCAUGCCCGGCCAUCUGGUCAGGCCAUCCACAUUCUGGAGGACUGGAUGUGUUCUCUUGCACACCCGCUUAAUUGAUACUAGAAUCUUCUUAAGUUACUGUACCCAGGGACAAAUCACUAUCACUCUUAGUCUCUGUAAGUUCCUCCUAGUAGUAUGUAAGAAACGAUCUUUGAAGAUGUCGCUUAAGGGUUGUAUGUUCAGUAAUGAAAUGGGUUACCUGUGUGUUGUUUGAAAUGGCAUCAUGAAUUUCAGCACUGGGUGAAACUGUCCAGUCACCAUGUGGAUGCCUUUCUUGUUCCUUAGUUCUAGUUAGGCUUCUUCUCUGCCACAUUCUAAAACCUGUCUGAACAGGGACCACAGUGGGAGAGGAAGUUUUUGCUUUACUUUAGGGAAGAUCACAUGUCUCAUUUGAAUUCAUACUUACCCAAAGGCCAGAGGACAGACCAAUGCGCUGCAUAGAGCUCUGGGUUCGUCCUAACUGGGUUUUAAACAAAGGAGGAAGCUGUGAUGAUGCAGGAAUUUUAGAGGCUUAUAUGAGGUGUGAUUAACAAAUGAGUGAUGCUAAACUGACAGUAUUUUAUAAACUUUUAUAGCUUAGAAGACAUUUAUGUAUGUUAUAUCAUCUGAUGUUUACAAAACCCUUUAAAUAGAUGUUAACAGGUAUUAUGAUCUCCAUAAUAUAUUGUGCUAUAGCUGGCCUAGAGUUAGAACCUGAGCAAUGCCAUUUUAUAAGACAAAGCUGUUUUUCAGAAAUAAGUUGUAACGGCUGCCCCAUUCUCCUCACAAGAACUGCUGGCCUUGGCUUCUGUAAAUAAAACUGCUAGUUUGCUCUGCAAAGUGCUCACUAUGUAAAGCUGCCUACCUUUUCUUAUCAGUAACUGCCAGAAUUGCUGGCCUUUGCUUACCAGUAAUGACCAGAAUAAGCAGCCCAAGCUAAUUCCAUCCUGGCCCCUGCAACUUGUAAUAAGUAACUAAGAUCUGUGGAUUCCACUACUGCCCAGACAAUGUGUAAACUAAUGCUUAUCUUGACUUCUGUAAACCACUUAGGUAAGAAUCGAAGUGACAACAAGUCCCCUAGCCCUUGGAAUGUCCGGAGACCUGCUCCUUCCUCUCUGCCCGGGAGGUGAUUUACGGAAUCCCCUGGCCCUCAGAAUGUCUGAAUCCCUUCAUCCCCACCCCCAGAGGUGGUUUAUGGGUAUAAAAGACUCUUGCACCCUUCCUUCGGGGCCACGGGUUGGAGAGACGUGAGUCCUCCGUGGUCACCGGCAAUAAAGACCCUGCAAUUUGGCAUA